This 301-nucleotide ribosomal RNA is filed under the name uncultured bacterium. RNAcentral's name for it is "partial 16S ribosomal RNA". It matches the Rfam family "Bacterial small subunit ribosomal RNA", at positions 509 to 807 of the family's 1533-position model. The record is from RNAcentral.
CAGUAGCCGCGGGAAUACGAAGGGGGCUAGCGUUGUUCGGAAUCACUGGGCGUAAAGGGUGCGUAGGCGGAUUCUUAAGUCAGGGGUGAAAUCCCGAGGCUCAACCUCGGAACUGCCUUUGAUACUGGGGAUCUUGAGUCCGGAAGAGGUGAGUGGAACUGCGAGUGUAGAGGUGAAAUUCGUAGAUAUUCGCAAGAACACCGGUGGCGAAGGCGGCUCACUGGUCCGGAACUGACGCUGAGGCACGACAGCGUGGGGAGCAAACAGGAUUAGAUACCCCCGUAGUCCCUGUCUCUUAUAC